Molecule: non-coding RNA, 76 nt
Organism: Parelaphostrongylus tenuis
Lineage: Eukaryota; Metazoa; Nematoda; Chromadorea; Rhabditida; Metastrongylidae
Source: the annotation of a GenBank genome assembly
GCCUCGGUGGUGCAGUGGUGGAGCACGCCAUCCCUGAUUAGGAUGAAACACGGGUUCGUGAUUUCCGCCUGAAGCC